This is a long non-coding RNA of Eriocheir sinensis (Chinese mitten crab), 1079 nucleotides long. RefSeq lists it as uncharacterized. The transcript has 3 exons. The record is from RefSeq and is a predicted model, not a curated record. NCBI's taxonomy places the organism in Eukaryota, Metazoa, Arthropoda, Malacostraca, Decapoda, Varunidae.
CACCACUACCACCACCACCACCACCACCACCGCCGGCCAGACAGUCAGCCUCAGCCCUCAGUGUGUCUCUAACAGCCGUGGCGAGAGGGCGUGUGUCGCUUGAGCUCCACGUCGCCCCAACACAGGGAAUUAAUACUAUCAGGGAAAUUACCUUGGAAAAAAUAAUAUCCUGAAAAAGGAGAAAAAGUUACCCCAGAUUAUUAACUUUUCCCUGAUUUUUCGGAGUCUCGUAAGUUUGUUUUCUGUUUUUUGGGUCAAGUUUGAGUCUGUUUUUUUUUCUUCGCGUUCGUCAGUUUCUUUCUGAGGAGUUUCUUUUUUAUGUUUUUUGUGGAGAUUUGACCCCAAAAGUAAGUCACGGGAAAGAGAGAGGAAGAAAAGUUGGAAAAAUGUAAAAAGUGGUAAAAAAAAUUCGCCACUGCUUAAAGAAAACUUCGUAAAUGAGGAAGAAAUAAAGAACCGUGGAAAUCUUUACCUUAGCAAAACUUUGAAAAGAAGAAAUUGCAAGUCACACAAAUUUUAGCUUUUAAGAAAGUAUAAAUAAGAGACAACAGAACUAACUGAAGAAAUAAAGUUGACGAAAGAAGAACAAACUGAAACAGAAGACGAAAAUCAGAAAACAAGAAAUAGAAAGAAAAGAAAAACAGUGUUAACAGUGACCUAACAAAAAGAAACUGAAGAAGAAAGUUAAAUAAGGAAAAACAAGCUAAAGAAAAAGACGAGAAAGAGGAAAAACAAGAAAAGUAAAAAGAAAAAAAGUGUUAACAGUGAAAAAAAAGCCGCCCCGACAGAAUAAUAAGAGGAAAAAGAUAUAUUUAUUUCCUCAUAAACUUUGGAAAAAAAUAGAAAAAAAUAGACCAAAAGGGGACUGUCCAAAAAAUAAAAACGAACCAUAUUUGACUUUCUAAUCGAGUGAACGUGGUGAAAAAAUUAUCAUCUGGACGAUCUUGUGGCAUGGCAGGAGUCUCGCUGAGGAAGUCGAGGGACACAAUACGAAUGCCCUCCGACCUGCCUACCGAACCCUGAAGAAGCCCCGCUGCGCGCCUCCCUCUCUGACUGAAGACGUGAGGGGAACUGCGGCC